RNAcentral lists this ribosomal RNA (443 nucleotides) under uncultured bacterium. RNAcentral describes it as "partial 16S ribosomal RNA". It matches the Rfam family "Bacterial small subunit ribosomal RNA", at positions 338 to 795 of the family's 1533-position model. The record is from RNAcentral.
CCUACGGGUGGCAGCAGUGGGGAAUAUUGGGCAAUGGACGAAAGCCUGACCCAGCAACGCCGCGUGAAUGAUGAAGGCCUUCGGGUUGUAAACUUCUUUUCUCAGGGACGAAGAAAGUGACGGUACCUGAGGAAUAAGCCACGGCUAACUACGUGCCAGCAGCCGCGGUAAUACGUAGGUGGCAAGCGUUAUCCGGAUUUAUUGGGUGUAAAGGGCGUGUAGGCGGGUGGGCAAGUCAGUAGCGAAACCUCAGGGCUCAACCCUGGGACUACUUUUGAAACUGUGUUUCUUGAGUGCUGGAGGGGCAAUCGGAAUUCCGAGUGUAGCGGUGAAAUGCGUAGAUAUUAGGAGGAACACCAGUGGCGAAGGCGGGUUGCUGGACAGUAACUGACGCUGAGGCACGAAAGCGUGGGGAGCAAACAGGAUUAGAUACCCUAGUAGUC